UGCACAUCCCGAGGUCUCUCUGCCUCUCCAUGUUUCCGAGUGUCACCGGAGCUGCUCCCAAACCCGGAAAAACAAAGGCUCUCUGCUCACCACGCACACCAACUUCAGUCCUACACACGUAGCACGAAUCCACCAACCUCGCAAGUGUUAAAAUCAACCGCUAACCUACGGUUACUCCAUCAUCGUUCUCUCCAGCUUUCUGUAAUACAUUGUUAAUAAUUGCUUCAUCAAGGUUACUGUCUUUUAUUAUGAAGAUGCUUCAGGCGUUUGGCAAUAAGUCCAUAUUCUGACAAUAAGCUGCUCUAAAGCACAAGCAUUGGAAACUCUCAUAUGCUAACCCCCUUCUUUAAUGCGAUGUAGUAUUGCCAAUAAUUCUCAUCACUUGUCAUCCCCGCCAGAGGGGAGGGGGGAGGAGAGCAGCAAACUUUCUCCCUAACUUUCUUCUCUGUUUUCCUGUGUUGCUGCAUCGACUGCAGAGUUGGCAAAGAGGGACAAAAAGCACCGAGCACCACACCGAGCACUUCGCUGCCUCCCCGGGUCGCCCGGACCAGCAAACUUUACCAACCACUGCAAACUCGCGGUUGGGAACAGAAGGAAAGUUUCGCGUUCUUACAACUUUACAGACCGAGAGGGAAAGCCUGAAGGUGGGAUCCGAGCUCACUAAAGGUGGAAACAGUACCAACAGGCAACAACCACAAACACCGAAACCGGGGACCGGUCCUCUGAGCAAGUUAAAAGUCUCAGAAAGUGCCACGAAGAAAUCAGAAGGACUUACAUGGUCGGCUAAAUUUGUGGAAGAUCCUGAGAGUUCCUCGUGGUCUGACUUGGAGCUGCCAUCCCUUUCAUCGAUAACGAGGUCUAUUGGCAUUUUUCCUUUCAAACAACUAAUGUACCGAUGGCAGAAGUUAUCGCACAAUUCGUGAACCUGAAAGCAGCAACAGGAGUGAUAGCAUCAGUAAGGGCAAGCUAUCGGAUUGCAACUCUUUUUGGGAGCAAGAACAACACUCCGGAGCUCCUCCACGAGUAACUCUAAUUAAGGGGCACAAUAGUUGAAGGCAAGGAAACAAUAGAGAAAUUGUUGCAGCGCAUAUUAUUCUCCUGAGACUUGCCGCAGCAACAAGUUACACAGAGAGAGAGACAGCGUGCUCAGCCCGGUGUGCGGGGCAAACCCGAUGUGCCGCUCCCGUAGCGGGGGGAGCCGCAGCCCGGCGGUACCUCCGGGCCGAGCCGGGCGACGAGCUCAGCACCGUGGGGCUCGGGUAUGGCCCCGGCCGGGCCGGGGAAAGCUGGCGGGGCUAUGGGAAAGGCGCUCCCGGCGCGGGCAACAGCCCCUCCCGCGCCGUGCAGGGCCCCCUGCCUCCUCCAAACAUUUACUGCUCGUUUGGGGUUAAUGCGCCUGGCGGAGCGGGAGGGAAGCGGGAGGGCUUGCGUUUCUCUUUUGGUUAAACAUAGCGUUUCCGAGUCAGGAAAAGAGCUUCUGCCGAGAGAAGGGGUAAGGAGAAUGUCAGGGGUUUAAUAAUGUAUAGAUUUAAUGACUCGGUUGAAAUUACACAGAACAAAAAAAAUGCCUGGCCGGGCUGGGCAUGGCUGCCGGUGUCACAUGCUCCGGUGGCACAGGUUAUGGUGUCACCCGGCGCUCCCCCACUCCCGGCAGUGUGUCCGCUCCGUCCCGGGCAGGGACGGCGGACGGCCUGCACCAACCCCGGCGCCUCUUACCUUCUCUAACUCCAGGAGGUGGAACCUUAGUACUUGUAUUGCUUGGAUCAUCUGCAAGAGAGUUGGGAGCAGGGGUUAGGUGGGAGAGAGGAGCUCGGGGAUGCGACCCCAAAGGAGCUGGGGGAGUUGUCAGGGCAGCGGUCAUUCCCCUGGAUCUCGACCCCUCCGUCACGCCUGAGCAAUACGGAUCAGCUUUACCCCGAGCACUCGGUUUCUAUCAGAUUGAUUCGGGGUGCGGGGCUGGGCGUUUGUUCCCAAGGUCCCGGAGAAGCAAAGCCUCUUCCUCCGCUCUCGGAGGGGCCGCGGAGGGCCGAACACACGCUCGCACCCCCCCACCGCCCGGGGAAGAAAGGGGAGGGGGGAGAUGAAUAGUUUGGCAUCUUCUUUACAAGAGGAUUUAGGCACUUUGAAUAUUGAAAUCGUUCACAUUAGCAAAAGAAUUAGGCUAGAAAUCUCCAGCUCCCUCUUCUUAAGCAGUUAUUUCCUUCGCUUUGGCUUCCCGUGGCUUCUAAGCCCGGCUUCGCUGCGCGCCAGGGCCGGAGCGUUCGCCCCGGCUCGCCCCGAGCGCGGCCCUCGGAACCCCUCGGGGAGGCGGGGAGCCCUCCCGGCCCGGCCGCCUCCUGUCCCGCUCGGUGGGCUCUGUCCGGGAUUAGGGGCGGGCGGAGGGCGGCGGGCGCAGGGGUGAGGCCUUACCAAAUUGUCCAACUCUGGGUUUGAAGAAAAAAGUGGUUUUUCAGCGCGGACCUACGAGAAGAAGGAAAAACGGCGUGGGUUGCGGCUCCUUCCUCCAGCCCUGGGGAUCCCCCCUUUGCAACCUCCCCCCGAUCCUCAUCCACGGCCCCUUCCACCGGGCACGGGGUGAGGACCCGGCCCGGAGGGCACCCGCCGCCCCAUCCCGCCCCCACCGAGGGGGCCGGGGGCCAACCCCUCGCGGCUCGGGGGGCCCCGGGGGGAGCGGUGCCGGACCUGCUUGGCGAAGACGGCGAUGUCCUCGUUGAAGGAGUCGGAGGAGCAGACGUCCCCGCCGGCCACGCCGGGCUCCCGGGGCGUGCAGGUCGCCAGCUCGCACUUCUCAAAGACCAGGGCGAGGAGGGGAAACAGCGGGUGCCCGUAGAUCGCAUCCUUGUCCCGCUUCAGAGCGUCGUUGACAGCGGAGCCCAUGCUGGCCGGCAUGACGUUGGGGUGCGGGGCGUGGGCGCCGUAGUGCUGUCCGGCGUGUAGCGGCGGCCCAUGGUUGAGGUGGUGCACCGGGGGGAUCGGCCGGGGGGCGUGCGGGUCCCCGUACAUGGACGCCGGCACCCCUACGCCGUCCAUCCCGCCGUAGUGGGGCAGCUCAUCG
RNAcentral lists this long non-coding RNA (3055 nucleotides) under Gallus gallus (chicken). The record is from RNAcentral. Lineage: Eukaryota; Metazoa; Chordata; Aves; Galliformes; Phasianidae.